RNAcentral lists this ribosomal RNA (1123 nucleotides) under uncultured bacterium. RNAcentral describes it as "bacterial SSU rRNA". It matches the Rfam family "Bacterial small subunit ribosomal RNA", at positions 47 to 1162 of the family's 1533-position model. The record is from RNAcentral.
AUUGAUUUUAUGCUUGCAUAAAUGAUUUUUGGGUUCGGAGCGAGUGGCGAACUGGUGAGUAACACGUGGGUAACCUGCCCCGAAGCGGGGGAUAACAUUUGGAAACAAGUGCUAAUACCGCAUAAUUAGUUGGAACCGCAUGGUUCCAACUUGAAAGAUGGCUCUGCUAUCACUUUGGGAUGGACCCGCGCCGUAUUAGUUAGUUGGUGAGAUAAAAGCCCACCAAGACGAUGAUACGUAGCCGACCUGAGAGGGUAAUCGGCCACAUUGGGACUGAGACACGGCCCAGACUCCUACGGGAGGCAGCAGUAGGGAAUCUUCCACAAUGGACGAAAGUCUGAUGGAGCAACGCCGCGUGAGUGAUGAAGGUUUUCGGAUCGUAAAACUCUGUUGUUAAAGAAGAACAAGUGUUAGAGUAACUGUUAACACUUUGACGGUAUUUAACCAGAAAGCCACGGCUAACUACGUGCCAGCAGCCGCGGUAAUACGUAGGUGGCAAGCGUUGUCCGGAUUUAUUGGGCGUAAAGCGAGCGCAGGCGGUUUUGUAAGUCUGCUGUGAAAGCCCUCAGCUCAACUGAGGAAGUGCAGUGGAAACUACAAAACUUGAGUACAGAAGAGGAAAGUGGAACUCCAUGUGUAGCGGUGAAAUGCGUAGAUAUAUGGAAGAACACCAGUGGCGAAGGCGGCUUUCUGGUCUGUUACUGACGCUGAGGCUCGAAAGCAUGGGUAGCGAACAGGAUUAGAUACCCUGGUAGUCCAUGCCGUAAACGAUGAAUACUAGGUGUUGGAGGGUUUCCGCCCUUCAGUGCCGCAGCUAACGCAUUAAGUAUUCCGCCUGGGGAGUACGACCGCAAGGUUGAAACUCAAAGGAAUUGACGGGGGCCCGCACAAGUGGUGGAGCAUGUGGUUUAAUUCGAUGCUACGCGAAGAACCUUACCAGCUCUUGACAUCUUCUGCCAACCCAAGAGAUUGGGCGUUCCCUUCGGGGACAGAAUGACAGGUGGUGCAUGGUUGUCGUCAGCUCGUGUCGUGAGAUGUUGGGUUAAGUCCCGCAACGAGCGCAACCCUUAUUAUUAGUUGCCAGCAUUUAGUUGGGCACUCUAGUGAGACUGCCGGUGAUAAA